UGAAAGACUUUGAAAAGGACAUGAUGAUCCGGGUGCUUUAUUCAGAGAGGAAUAUGAUUGGUGCGAGUAUUCCUGAAGCAUGGAUGCAUUACCGCCUUGGAGUUGGUCAUUAGAAUCAAGUAUAGUGAUCCGGUCGUUCCGUUAUAACGUUCGAGUACAUCAGAAUUAAGCGUUUUGGUGAACUAGGGUGGAACCACGUGAGCAAGCUCUCGUCCCUUGA
This 220-nucleotide non-coding RNA is filed under the name Megasphaera cerevisiae. Its description in RNAcentral is "T-box sequence". It matches the Rfam family "T-box leader". Rfam says of the family: Uncharged tRNA acts as the effector for transcription antitermination of genes in the T-box leader family. T-boxes are found upstream of many aminoacyl-tRNA synthetase genes and some amino acid biosynthetic genes usually in Gram-positive bacteria. Lineage: Bacteria; Bacillati; Bacillota; Negativicutes; Veillonellales; Veillonellaceae. The record is from RNAcentral.